UGGGGAAUUUUGGACAAUGGGCGAAAGCCUGAUCCAGCAAUGCCGCGUGUGUGAAGAAGGCCUUCGGGUUGUAAAGCACUUUUGUCCGGAAAGAAAUCCUCUGGGUUAAUACCUCGGGGGGAUGACGGUACCGGAAGAAUAAGCACCGGCUAACUACGUGCCAGCAGCCGCGGUAAUACGUAGGGUGCAAGCGUUAAUCGGAAUUACUGGGCGUAAAGCGUGCGCAGGCGGUUUUGUAAGACGGAUGUGAAAUCCCCGGGCUUAACCUGGGAACUGCAUUCGUGACUGCAAGGCUAGAGUAUGGCAGAGGGGGGUAGAAUUCCACGUGUAGCAGUGAAAUGCGUAGAGAUGUGGAGGAAUACCGAUGGCGAAGGCAGCCCCCUGGGCCAAAUACUGACGCUCAUGCACGAAAAGCGUGGGGAGCAAAACAGGAUUAGAUAACCCUGGUAGUCCACGCCCUAAAACGAUGUCAACUAGUUGUUGGGGAUUCAUUUCCUUAGUAACGUAGCUAACGCGUG
RNAcentral lists this ribosomal RNA (518 nucleotides) under uncultured bacterium. Its description in RNAcentral is "partial 16S ribosomal RNA". It matches the Rfam family "Bacterial small subunit ribosomal RNA", at positions 355 to 861 of the family's 1533-position model. The record is from RNAcentral.